RNA transcript from Cucurbita maxima (winter squash), 1554 nucleotides. It is a transcript of the gene named non-structural maintenance of chromosomes element 1 homolog, with no coding region annotated. The transcript is spliced from 8 exons. The record is from RefSeq and is a predicted model, not a curated record. Lineage: Eukaryota; Viridiplantae; Streptophyta; Magnoliopsida; Cucurbitales; Cucurbitaceae.
UGUAAAAGCGGCUAUCCAGCGCUAGACUUCACUUCCUGGAGGUCUUUGAAAAUUUUCCCGCACAAACUCUUCUCUUCUAUGAGUUUGGCUGAAAUUCCCUUACAGAAUCAACCUUGUCUGAAUCUUUGAGGUAUUAGUUGACCUUGAAUUAGGGUUCAGAAUGCGGGAGCUGAGUUGGAGACAUCACACUCUCAUUCAAGCGCUUCUCGCUCGCGGCCCUCUCAGAGAGGAUCACUUCCAUUUGCUGUUUACGCGGAUCACUGAAAAGAGUCCAGAUAAUGACCGGCAGCUUUUUAAUAAUUACCUCCUGACGAUGAACAAAGCACUUUCUUUUGCUCAAUUUGAGUUGCGAGGCUGCAGAAACCAAUAUGAUGGUCGUGUUUACUAUGGCUUGGUCAAUAAUGUAUCCGAUGAACAAUCCAAGCUGGGAACAAAGUAUUCAGUUCCACAGAUUGCCUUUUAUAAAGCCAUUGUUGAAGCAAUUGCACAAGAUCCAUCUGCUCAAGGUGGAAUAUCCAACAUUGCUGCUCUUCAUCUGCAGUUGGAAAAUCAGCUGGGGGAUGCAGGGUCCCAGUCCCAUGUCAUACCACCUGCUUUCAAGAAUUUCUCAAUAUCUCUCAAGGAAAAAACAAUCGCCGAGCUUGCUCAGGAUCAGUGGCUUAAUUGCACCCCUGAUGGUUUUGUAAAUUUGGGUGUCAGAUCAUUUCUUGAUUUGCGAAGUUGGUUCCGCACUAAUGACAUACCUUCAUGUGAAGUGUGCAAUGAAGCUGGAGUGAAGGCAGAGUUGUGUAGUAAUGAAGGCUGCACUGUUCGUGUACAUCGGUAUUGCCUUAAGAAAAUGUUAUCCAAUAAAAAGAGUAAAAGGGCUUGCCCAAGUUGUGGCACUCAAUGGCGAUCUACAGCACCCAAUGUGGAGUUCAAGGAGGAAGAGGAUGAGCCAGAUGCGCGCAUUCAAGGCCAGUCAUCAUCACAUAAGAGGAAGAAAACCAGAUUGAACAGAGAUAUUGAUUCAGGACCAAAUGGAGACAGUGUGGCUGCGGCACAAGCUUCCCAACCUCCUCCAGAUACGAGGAGAAUAACGCGAAGUUCUGCACACCAGCGGUAGGUGCUUGAAAUGAGAAUCGGAAUGUAAAGUGCAUUACACAGCGUAAGCCAAAAGUAUUAUGCUUUUCGGUGGUGUAUUGAUGAACAGUUAAACAUGUAUGAUGGGUCUGGAUUGUGUACAAAGGUAUGCAGCUCAAUGCUGAAAAUUUGACCGUUCAUAUUUACCAUGCUUAGAUUUAAGGAUGAAUAUAUCCACUCUAGAGAAGGAAGUCAUAAUUAAGCCGUUUAAAUAGUGAGAACAAAUUAGAGCACUCUGGAGAAGUCAUCAUAGCAGUGACAUGAGAUAAAAGUGGUGUCUUUGAACUGUUGAGAAUAGAAUCGAUUAUGAAACUUUAGAUGGUGGGAAAGUGAAGCAAUGAAAAGAAUAUGGCUAAAUGUUUGUCUUUUUAUAUAAUUAAAUUAUCUGAAUUCAUUACAAAAAUGUCCCUUUAUGAAGCUGACUUGGCUGUG